GGGUUAAGAAUGCACAAGCAAUUUACACCCUAAAUGGUAGUGAAUUAGGGAUAACCACACACAAGAAGGAUUUGGGAAUUGUUAUAGAUAACAAAUUAGGCAGCAAUAUGCAAUGUCAAUCUGCAGUUGCUAAGGCCAGUAAGGUUUUGUCAUGUAUAAAUAGGGGCAUAAAUUCUCGGGAUGAAAAUAUAAUUUUGCCUCUUUCUAAAUCGCUGGUAAGACCACACCUUGAAUAUGCUGUGC
This is a non-coding RNA of Pelobates cultripes (western spadefoot toad), 243 nucleotides long. Lineage: Eukaryota; Metazoa; Chordata; Amphibia; Anura; Pelobatidae. The record is from the annotation of a GenBank genome assembly.